UUUCAACUGGUGUGCCAUGAGCAGAGGUGAGUGGUUCUGAAGCCAGCAUGUGUGGGGGCUGUUUGUUGAUGCUGCAGGCCCCUCCCGGAUGGCCAUGAAUGUGGCCUGGUUCUGCUAGCAGGCUUUGGGAGCAGCUCCAGGGAGCCCCUCCUGGGGUCUGUUCUUCAGUGUGUCCAAGCAUCUGGUAAGCCAUUUAGUAGCCCGAGUUGAAUCCUAUUCUGCCUCCACUAGCUCAAGGGGAUUCUUUGCGGCGGAGCCCUGAUGAACGAAUGCAAAUGUGAUGUAGCGGCCAUCUUCAGAGAACUACGCAGAAACCUUGGUAUCUGAAAUGCAGUGUGCAGUGAGGGCUAACCAUGGAGUGAUGGAGUACUGAUAGCCUUCCUGUUCCCAUCUGGUUUAGCCCUAGGGUCUGGGGCCAGGACUUGCUGGAUGUGAGUAGGGCACAGUUGCCCCAACCCCCGGGGCAGAAAAGGGAGCAAUGGCACAGAACUAAUCUGGGCCUCCUAUUGGCUAUGUGCGAGUAGUGAAUUCCAGUUUAUCAGAUCUGGCAGCAAUCCAACAUCCCCACUUUGCGGAAGAAGAAGGUAAAUGACACAAGACAUAUUUAAAAUUACAGGGAACCCACAUCUUGGAUAUCGUGACUGGCUCCUAGUACAUACCAGGAGUAAAUUGUACCCAGAACGGUGUUGCAUAGAAACUCAGGAAAUGGUCCUAGAAUGGAAUAUACAGUCAGCCUUGAACAACACGGUUUGAACUGUGCAGGUUAAUUUAUAUGAAGAUUUUAUUGAAUAAAUAUAGCAUGGUACUGUAAAUGUAUUUUCUCUUCCUUAUGAUAUUAUUAAUAACAUUUUCUUUUCUUUAUUUUAUUGUAAGAACACAGUAUUAUAAGACAUACAACACACAAAAUAUAUUAGUUGAUGGUUAUCAGUAAGGCUUCCAGUCAAUAGUAGGUUAUUAGUAGUUAAGUUUUGGGGGAGUCAAAAGUUACAUGUAGAUUUUUGACUGCAUGGGGGUCAGUAUCCCUAAUCCUCCCGUGUUAUCCAAGAGGCAGUUAUAUUUUAUUUAAAACAAUUUUUUUUAAUGUUUAUUUUUGAGAGAGAGAGAGAGAGACAGAGUGUGAAUGGGGGAGGGGCAGAGAGAGGGACACACAGAAUCUGAAGCAGGCUCCAGGCUCUGAGCUGUCAGCACAGAGCCCGACGCGGGGCUUGAACUCACGGACUGCGAGAUCAUGACAUGAGCUGAAGUCGGACGCUUAACGCUUAACCGACUGAGCCACCCAGGUGCCCCAGUUGUAUUUUAUUCUUAAUCGGUUUCCCCACCACUCACUCCCCUUUAUGUACAGGUGCAUUGAGCCAUCACCGGAUACGAACAUUACAAUGAGGCCACCAAGAAGCAACAGUUACUAUUAUUGUAACCUGGGGGAGAGCAGCUUCCAAGAAAUCUUACAAAAGACUUGUGGCCAUUUUCCUAUGUAUCAAGAAAAUGUGAAAGCCAUCUCCUCGGGACCAAAUUUACACUGAUCGAUGAAGUGCUUCGCCAAUUUAGACAGUAAGAGGUUGUUUAAUUAUAGCAGGGUAGCGGUGCAUAUUACACCAAACAUUUGUUUUACAUCUGAAAGCCCUGGAAAUGGAAAUUAAUAGAUUCACGCAGGAAUGAACUUACUUGUGGGGGCCCAGUGAUUCUGAGUAGACCAGCAAUUACUCAUUUUUCUUUGAAUUCAUUUCUGUGAUGGAAACACAAAAAAGUGAUUUCAAGAAGGAAAAUCGUUGCAUGGAAAUCUGGCAAGUUUUCACAAGGACUGAAUUGCUCUUUUG
This 1814-nucleotide long non-coding RNA is filed under the name Lynx pardinus (Iberian lynx). The record is from RNAcentral. Lineage: Eukaryota; Metazoa; Chordata; Mammalia; Carnivora; Felidae.